This 254-nucleotide ribosomal RNA is filed under the name uncultured bacterium. RNAcentral's name for it is "partial 16S ribosomal RNA". It matches the Rfam family "Bacterial small subunit ribosomal RNA", at positions 524 to 776 of the family's 1533-position model. The record is from RNAcentral.
UACGGGGGGGGCAAGCGUUGUUCGGAAUUACUGGGCGUAAAGAGCUCGUAGGCGGUUCAGUAAGUCGGGUGUGAAAACUUUGGGCUUAACCCAAAGCGUGCAUCUGAUACUGCUGUGACUUGAGUUCGGUAGGGGAGUGGGGAAUUCCUAGUGUAGCGGUGAAAUGCGCAGAUAUUAGGAGGAACACCGGUGGCGAAGGCGCCACUCUGGGCCGAAACUGACGCUGAGGAGCGAAAGCAUGGGUAGCAAACAGG